This 1430-nucleotide ribosomal RNA is filed under the name uncultured bacterium. RNAcentral describes it as "bacterial SSU rRNA". It matches the Rfam family "Bacterial small subunit ribosomal RNA". The record is from RNAcentral.
AUGAACGCUGGCGGCGUGCUUAACACAUGCAAGUCGAACGAACCUUCGGGUUAGUGGCGGACGGGUGAGUAACGCGUGGGAAUCUGCCCUCAGGAGGGGGAUAACGGUUGGAAACGACCGCUAAUACCCCAUAUGCCGAGAGGUGAAAUGAAUUUCGCCUGAGGAUGAGCCCGCGUCUGAUUAGCUUGUUGGUGAGGUAAUGGCUCACCAAGGCUUCGAUCAGUAGCUGGUCUGAGAGGAUGAUCAGCCACACUGGGACUGAGACACGGCCCAGACUCCUACGGGAGGCAGCAGUGGGGAAUUUUCCGCAAUGGGCGAAAGCCUGACGGAGCAACGCCGCGUGAGGGAUGAAGGCCUCUGGGCUGUAAACCUCUUUUCUCAAGGAAGAAGAUAUGACGGUACUUGAGGAAUAAGCCACGGCUAAUUCCGUGCCAGCAGCCGCGGUAAUACGGGAGUGGCAAGCGUUAUCCGGAAUUAUUGGGCGUAAAGCGUCCGCAGGCGGCCUUUCAAGUCUGCUGUUAAAACGUGGAGCUUAACUCCAUCAAGGCAGUGGAAACUGUUGGGCUUGAGUGUGGUAGGGGCAGAGGGAAUUCCCGGUGUAGCGGUGAAAUGCGUAGAUAUCGGGAAGAACACCAGUGGCGAAGGCGCUCUGCUGGGCCAUAACUGACGCUCAUGGACGAAAGCCAGGGGAGCGAAAGGGAUUAGAUACCCCUGUAGUCCUGGCCGUAAACGAUGAACACUAGGUGUCGGGGGAAUCGACCCCCUCGGUGUCGUAGCCAACGCGUUAAGUGUUCCGCCUGGGGAGUACGCACGCAAGUGUGAAACUCAAAGGAAUUGACGGGGGCCCGCACAAGCGGUGGAGUAUGUGGUUUAAUUCGAUGCAACGCGAAGAACCUUACCAGGGUUUGACAUCCUGCGAACCUCUAAGAAAUUGGAGGGUGCCUUCGGGAACGCAGUGACAGGUGGUGCAUGGCUGUCGUCAGCUCGUGUCGUGAGAUGUUGGGUUAAGUCCCGCAACGAGCGCAACCCACGUUUUUAGUUGCCAGCAUUCAGUUGGGCACUCUAGAGAGACCGCCGGUGAUAAACCGGAGGAAGGUGUGGAUGACGUCAAGUCAUCAUGCCCCUUACAUCCUGGGCUACACACGUACUACAAUGCUACGGACAAAGGGCAGCAAACUCGCGAGGGCAAGCAAAUCCCAUAAACCGUGGCUCAGUUCAGAUCGUAGGCUGCAACUCGCCUACGUGAAGGAGGAAUCGCUAGUAAUCGCAGGUCAGCAUACUGCGGUGAAUACGUUCCCGGGCCUUGUACACACCGCCCGUCACACCAUGGAAGUUGGCCACGCCCGAAGUCGUUACUCCAACCCUUGUGGAGGAGGACGCCGAAGGUGGGGCUGAUGACUGGGGUGAAGUCGUAACAAGGUAGCCGUACC